RNAcentral lists this ribosomal RNA (2661 nucleotides) under Clostridioides difficile. Its description in RNAcentral is "partial 23S ribosomal RNA". It matches the Rfam family "Bacterial large subunit ribosomal RNA". The record is from RNAcentral. Lineage: Bacteria; Bacillati; Bacillota; Clostridia; Peptostreptococcales; Peptostreptococcaceae.
GGUCAAGUUAUUAAGGGUGCAGGGCGGAUGCCUUGGCACUAGGAGCCGAUGAAGGACGUGAUAAGCUGCGAUAAGCUUCGGGGAGUUGCACGUAAACUUUGAUCCGAAGAUUUCCGAAUGAGGAAACUCACUUAGAGUAAUGUCUAAGUAUCAUUAAGUGAAUACAUAGCUUAAUGAGGGGAACUCAGGGAACUGAAACAUCUAAGUACCUGAAGGAAGAGAAAGAAAUUCGAUUCCGUAAGUAGCGGCGAGCGAACGCGGAUUAGCCCAAACCAAUAAAGUUUUCUUUAUUGGGGUUGCGGACAUAUCAUAACGAAGAGGUAUCGUAAUUGAAGAGGUUUGGAAAGACCCACCACAGAAGGUAAUAGUCCUGUAUGUUAAACGAGAAGACUUCAGAUAUGAUCCAGAGUACCACGGGACACGUGAAACCCUGUGGGAAGCAGGAGGGACCACCCUCCAAGGCUAAAUACUACCUAGUGACCGAUAGCGUAUAGUACCGUGAGGGAAAGGUGAAAAGAACCCCGGGAGGGGAGUGAAAUAGAACCUGAAACCCUGCACUUACAAGCUGUGGAAGCACAUUUCUUGUGUGACCGCGUACUUUUUGUAGAACGGGCCAACGAGUUACGUUAAGUAGCAAGGUUAAGCACUUAAGGUGCGGAGCCGUAGCGAAAGCGAGUUUUAACUGAGCGUUCAGUUACUUGACGUAGACCCGAAACCGGGCGACCUACCCAUGAGCAGGAUGAAGCGAAAGUAAAAUUUCGUGGAGGUCCGAACCCACGAGCGUUGAAAAGCUCGGGGAUGACUUGUGGGUAGCGGUGAAAUUCCAAUCGAGCCCGGAGAUAGCUGGUUCUCCCCGAAAUAGCUUUAGGGCUAGCCUCAAGGUGAGAGAUACGGAGGUAGAGCACUGAAUGUCCUAGGGGGUAUUGCACCUACCGAAGACUAUCAAACUCCGAAUGCCGUCAUCUUAUACUUGGGAGUCAGACUGUGGGUGAUAAGAUUCAUAGUCGAAAGGGCAACAGCCCAGAUCGUCAGCUAAGGUCCCUAAAUGUAAGUUAAGUGGUAAAGGAUGUGGGAUUGCACAGACAACCAGGAUGUUGGCUUAGAAGCAGCCACUCAUUCAAAGAGUGCGUAAUAGCUCACUGGUCGAGUGAUCCUGCGCCGAAGAUUUCCGGGGCUAAAACUUACUACCGAAGCUACGGCAUCAGUAAUGAUGGGUAGGGGAGCUUCCCAUACGGGUUGAAGCAUGACCGUAAGGACAUGUGGACAGUAUGGGAGUGAGAAUGUUGGCAUGAGUAGCGAGAUGUGGGUGAGAAUCCCACAGGCCGUAAACCCAAGGUUUCCAGGGGAAGGUUCGUCCGCCCUGGGUUAGUCGGGACCUAAGCUGAGGCCGAAAGGCGUAGGUGAUGGACAACAGGUUGAUAUUCCUGUACUACCGAUAACCGUUUGAGAGAAGGGAUGACACAGUAGGAUAAGCUAAGCACACUGUUGGUUAUGUGUGCCCAAGCAUUGAGGCAGUCAAAGUAGGCAAAUCCGCUUUGAUAAUGCUGGGAUGUGAUGGGGAGCGAAAUUUAGUAGCGAAGUAGCUGAUUUCACACUGUCAAGAAAAGUCUCUAUCGAGGUUAAAGGUACCCGUACCGCAAACCGACACAGGUGGGUGAGGAGAGUAUCCUAAGGCCAGCGAGAGAACUGUUGUUAAGGAACUCGGCAAAAUGACCCCGUAACUUAGGGAUAAGGGGUGCCACCAUCAGGUGGCCGCAGAGAAUAGGCCCAAGCGACUGUUUACCAAAAACAUAGGUUUCUGCUAAGUCGCAAGACGAUGUAUAGGAGCUGACGCCUGCCCGGUGCUGGAAGGUUAAGGGGAUCUGUUAGAGCAAUCGAAGCAGUGAACUUAAGCCCCAGUAAACGGCGGCCGUAACUAUAACGGUCCUAAGGUAGCGAAAUUCCUUGUCGGGUAAGUUCCGACCCGCACGAAAGGCGUAACGAUUUGGGCACUGUCUCAACAACAGACUCGGUGAAAUUGUAAUUCCGGUGAAGAUGCCGGAUACCUGCGACAGGACGGAAAGACCCCAUGGAGCUUUACUGUAGCUUGACAUUGGGUCUUGGUACUACAUGUACAGGAUAGGUGGGAGGCUUUGAAACCAGGACGCCAGUUUUGGCGGAGCCAUCCUUGGGAUACCACCCUUGUAGUACUGGGACUCUAACCAUAGGCCAUGAAUCUGGUCUUGGGACACUGUCAGGUGGGCAGUUUGACUGGGGCGGUCGCCUCCCAAAAGGUAACGGAGGCGCUCAAAGGUUCUCUCAGUACGGUCGGAAAUCGUACGUAGAGUGUAAAGGCAAAAGAGAGCUUGAUUGCAAGACAUACAGGUCGAGCAAGGAUGAAAAUCGGACUUAGUGAUCCGGUGGUUCUGCGUGGAAGGGCCAUCGCUCAACGGAUAAAAGCUACCCUGGGGAUAACAGGCUUAUCUCCCCCAAGAGUCCACAUCGACGGGGAGGUUUGGCACCUCGAUGUCGGCUCAUCACAUCCUGGGGCUGUAGUAGGUCCCAAGGGUUGGGCUGUUCGCCCAUUAAAGUGGUACGCGAGCUGGGUUCAGAACGUCGUGAGACAGUUCGGUCCCUAUCCGUCGCAGGCGUAGGAAAUUUGAGAAGACCUGUCCUUAGUAC